GCUGGUGUGUGAACAAGCAGCCCUGAAAUCCUAGAUUCAUCACCAGGCAUGUAUUUUUCCCAUAUCACCUUACCCAUGGUUCAGAAGAACAGAAGAAGAACAGACACCAUUUGCACCUCAAGAGUGCUGAGAAUAUAAGGUCUGUAUUAAAUCUCAACAUGAGGAAUAAAUCCACUGCAGGAAAUCAUGACAAAAAUGCAUGUUUUGGAAAAGGACUAUGAAAAUGAACCAAGUCAAACUACAAGGUUUACCUUGGCUUUAAUGUCUUACUUGAAUGUCAGGUGUAUUAGAAGGAACCCAUGUUGGAGCAUUACAGUUAUUUCCUUUUUCCUAGCUCAAAAAGCACAGGACUGACUUUAUUAAAAUACUGCAGGAGUCAGGAAGACAGGGAAAAGAAGAACACAACACAGAGCAAAACGAAAAUUGGCUGUACAGCAAGAUUAUUUUGAACUUCCAUCAGAAGAACAUACAAAC
Passer domesticus (house sparrow) is the source of this 474-nucleotide long non-coding RNA. RefSeq lists it as uncharacterized. The transcript is spliced from 3 exons. The record is from RefSeq and is a predicted model, not a curated record. Lineage: Eukaryota; Metazoa; Chordata; Aves; Passeriformes; Passeridae.